GACGAACGCUGGCGGCGCGCCUAACACAUGCAAGUCGAACGAGAGAGAGGGAGCUUGCUUCCUCAAUCGAGUGGCGAACGGGUGAGUAACGCGUGAGGAACCUGCCUCAAAGAGGGGGACAACAGUUGGAAACGACUGCUAAUACCGCAUAAGCCCACAGGUCGGCAUCGACCAGAGGGAAAAGGAGCAAUCCGCUUUGAGAUGGCCUCGCGUCCGAUUAGCUAGUUGGUGAGGUAAUGGCCCACCAAGGCAACGAUCGGUAGCCGGACUGAGAGGUUGAACGGCCACAUUGGGACUGAGACACGGCCCAGACUCCUACGGGAGGCAGCAGUGGGGAAUAUUGCACAAUGGGGGAAACCCUGAUGCAGCGACGCCGCGUGGAGGAAGAAGGUCUUCGGAUUGUAAACUCCUGUUGUUGAGGAAGAUAAUGACGGUACUCAACAAGGAAGUGACGGC
This 456-nucleotide ribosomal RNA is filed under the name uncultured bacterium. Its description in RNAcentral is "bacterial SSU rRNA". It matches the Rfam family "Bacterial small subunit ribosomal RNA", at positions 28 to 497 of the family's 1533-position model. The record is from RNAcentral.